This is a long non-coding RNA of Hylaeus anthracinus, 841 nucleotides long. RefSeq lists it as uncharacterized. The record is from RefSeq and is a predicted model, not a curated record. Lineage: Eukaryota; Metazoa; Arthropoda; Insecta; Hymenoptera; Colletidae. The transcript has 3 exons.
UACGAAAUCAAUUAAAAUUCUAUAAUCAACAUUCAUCCUUGAAUCUGAACGAUUUCUCAAGGGACAUCCCUCGAUGAUCAGUUUUCGCCACGAUGGACCUCCUAAUCGGAACCAUGAACGGUUACGAAAUAACACGGUCGAAAACUCUACCAACCUGACUGCAUAAAACCCAGCAAACGUAUCGCAACAAAGAAGUUUCUCAAACUUUUAAUUAAGACCCACACGAACUCUGACGGAGUUAGGUGAAGCUGGCGUUACGGUUGAUAGAUUGCUCGGAGAAAACUGAGACGACUCGUCUCGCGUCGUGCCAAGCAAUCUACCAAGAAACAGUUUAAUUACUUCCGUAAUUUACCGAUUUCGCAAUCACGGUUCACAGGAAGAAGGAUUACGAGCGAAAAGUUUAAGCGCGAGCGAGCUUAUUUCAUAGAGGAAUACAUCGGAGGUGAAAUCGAUCGACAUCGAUACAAAUCGAUGAUACUUGGUUGCAUCUUAGUGAUUUGCUCGAUCGACGUGUUUGCUGGAAGGUGUAAUAAUUCCUUUUCGAUUCUUUAAAUACUGUAAAUAAUCCUUCAUCUGGAGGGGUUUAUCAAGGCUAAUUCAAGGCUAAAUUUUACAAGGCUGUACUGUUCAAGGAUGGAUUUUACUAUGAUAUACUGUUCAAGGCUGGAUUUUACUAUGCUGUACUGUGCAAGGCUAGAUUUUGAUAGAGUGUACUGUUCCAGGCUCGAUUUUACUAUGAUGUACUGUUCAAGAAUAGAUCUUGAUAUAUUGUACUGUUCAAGGCUAAAUUUUACAAGAUUGUACUGUUCAAGGCUAAAUUUUACUAUGCUUAGUGUUCAAG